Molecule: long non-coding RNA, 1413 nt
Filed under: Homo sapiens (human)
Lineage: Eukaryota; Metazoa; Chordata; Mammalia; Primates; Hominidae
Description: HSALNT0320341
Source: RNAcentral
ACAUUCCAGCCUGGGCAACAGAGUGAAACCCUGUCUCAAAAAAAAGCAGCAACUUCUCUCUGGGAAAGGCAGGUCUUGUGACAGAGGCAAACGAGAGAUGGCAGAAUCUCACAGUGGCAUUUAUAACUUCUGCUUUGAAGUGGCAACAUUUCCAUUCACAUGUCAUUGGCCAAAGCAAGUCAUGUCCAAACUAAUAUCAAUGCAAAGCAUAAUCCCAUAAGGACACAUCUGAUAUAGAGGGGCAGUGAAAAUGUCAACAAUAAUAUAAUCUAUGAGAGGAUACAGAAGCAUAACCAGUAAAUGUUAGUGUCCUUCCCUUUCCUCUUUUCCCUUACUGGUUCCCCCUGAGAAACACAAGUGUACAGCAUGGAGAGGCUGUGUGAUGUCAUAAUUAAGAGUGUAGAUUCUGAGAACAGACUGCCUGAGUUCAAAUCCUUACUCUGCCAUUUUCCAGCUGUGUGGCUUUGGGCAAGUUAUUUAACCUCUCUGUGCCUCAACUUCUUCAUGUAAACUGGCAGUAAUAAUAAUACGAAUGCCACAGAGCUGUGGAUGAAAUGAGCCCAUUCCGGUCUGGCUUCUUUAACCAGGAAGAUGUGGGCUGAGAGCUGUGGAGUAGAUGUCUUCACCAGAUGAGUACACAGAGAAGUAGAGAAUGUGUAUCUGCAGAGUAGGAUGAAGCAGAGACAAGAUGAAUUUAAGUGAAUAAUGAUGCCAAAGCAUCUCAUGGAAAAAAAAACAUGAAUAAAAAGCAUUGCUCUAAAUGUAACGUUAUCAAAAUCACUGGUUAAAGCAACAUAUAGCACUCUUGUUUUUGAUACCAGUCUUGUGAAUAAGGUAUUCAGGAAGCACAGCUGUCUUUUGUUCCUGAAGCCGUAUCAGGAUUCAGCAGGAAAGAGCACCAAGAUCACUUGGCAAUGUUUAUCCUGAUCAAGCACGGGCACUGAUGGCAGAUGCAGGACAAAGGACAGAACUCUAAGUCAUCCCUGUGCUCACCUGAGACAAAUGCAUGUCUGAUUGCUUCCACUGAUGUAAAAAUGCAGAUUUGCUGAGUUAGACGAAGACGAUGGCAGAGAGCAGUCUUCAUCCUGAGCCCCAUUCCUAGGUAAGUAGCUGAAUUGGGGUUUUGUUUUGGAAAUUCUCCUUAAUGGCUAAAGUUAAGAUUAACAACCAGCUGGUCUUAAUUUCUUCUUACCAUUAGAGCACUCAGUAAUCUAAUAUAAAUUAUAAAUCUAAUAUAUUAGAUUUAUUUUGGGUUUGACCAACUCUAUCUGACUUGAUCAAAUCCAAAGGAAAGUUCCAAAUUAUGGGGAAUAAGGCCUCUGAAUUGGCUACAUUCCUGCAGCUGAAAAUAAGGAAAGAAAAAAGGGAAAAAGUAAAAGCAGCCAGGCCGGGCAUGGUGGCUCAAACCUGUAA